RNAcentral lists this ribosomal RNA (443 nucleotides) under uncultured bacterium. RNAcentral describes it as "partial 16S ribosomal RNA". It matches the Rfam family "Bacterial small subunit ribosomal RNA", at positions 48 to 523 of the family's 1533-position model. The record is from RNAcentral.
AAAAGAAGAUCAAGAAGAGCUUCAGAAUGAAGCUUUCUUGAUGGAGGGGAGCGGCAGACGGGUGAGUAACGCGUGGGAACGUACCCUUUACUACGGAACAACUCCGGGAAACUGGAGCUAAUACCGUAUGUGCCCUUUGGGGGAAAGAUUUAUCGGUAAAGGAUCGGCCCGCGUUGGAUUAGCUAGUUGGUGGGGUAAAGGCCUAGCAAGGCGACGAUCCAUAGCUUGUAUGAGAGGAUGAACAUCCACAUUGGGACUGAGACACGGCCCAAACUCCUACGGGAGGCAGCAGUGAGGAAUAUUGGACAAUGGGCGCAAGCCUGAUCCAGCCAUGCCGCGUGAGUGAUGAAGGCCCUAGGGUUGUAAAGCUCUUUCACCGGGGAAGAUAAUGACGGUACCCGGAGAAGAAGCCCCGGCUAACUUCGUGCCAGCCGCCGCCGUAA